AUGAAUGGUUGGAUGAAGGAUUUACUUUCUUUAUUUUAAAAAUAAAAUUUGAUUUCUAAAUUAAAAAGUUUAGAUUUUAUUAGAGGACGAGAAGACCCUAUAGAACUUUAUAUCCCCCAAAAUAUUUAUUUACUUGUAAAUAAUUUUUAUUUAUUUUGGGGGGUAUUUUGUUGGGGUGACAAAAAAAAUUUUAUAACUUUUUUUACUUUUAUCAUUUGUUUAUGAUUUAUUGAUCCUUUAAUAGGGAAAUAAGAUUAAGUUACCUUAGGGAUAACAGCGUUAUUGUUUUGGAGAGUUCAUAUUGAUAAAAUAGUUUGCGACCUCGAUGUUGGAUUAAAAUUAGUCUUAGGGGCAGAAUACUAAUGACUAGGUC
RNAcentral lists this ribosomal RNA (373 nucleotides) under Megalocoleus naso. Its description in RNAcentral is "partial large subunit ribosomal RNA". The record is from RNAcentral. Lineage: Eukaryota; Metazoa; Arthropoda; Insecta; Hemiptera; Miridae.